UUAGAGUGAAGAGGCUUUCUCCUGGUAACUUUUUCAAACAAAUCAUACUUGUUCAGUCUUUUUCUAAUUGUACUGUCAAGAACUUUAAUAUUUAACAUGCUAACUGGCCCCAGUAGCGUUUGAGAUGUAACUCUUAGAGGUUUGUGUGUUUUUUUUGUAAUUUCUCUGAGCUUUGCAGUCUGAGCAAUUGCACGUGGGGUGAAUUUGAUUGGAUGUCCACUCCUGGGAAGACUGUCUGGAAUGUUUUCCACUUGUGAAUAAUCAUCCUCACUAUAGAAUGAUGAACUUUAAAUUGUUUGGAAAUGGCCUUAUAACCCUUCCCAGAUAGAUGGGCAGCAGCAUUUGCUUCUCUACAAUAAUUGCUGAUAUGUUUCCUCCUUGGCAUUGUGUUAAUACACACUUGAAUUAUCCACACCAGCAAACUGCUAAAACUUUGGCUUUUAUACAGGUGGGCACACUGGGCUUUUACAGUGAGCCUUCUACAGCUGAGUCACCUUAUCUUUAUGGUGACUCUUCACUAUUUUUUUAAUGUCUGCUGUUGUGGAUAUUCUUUUAAUAAUUACUUUGUUGAUAACUGCUUUUCAAAAUAAAGACUUUUCAAUGCAAUUUGCAGAAUUAAUAAAAUAAUACUAAUAAAACAUUAAAGUUGAAUUGCUUAACUGUUGGUUCUUAUUCAAACUGUAAGUUGUCUUGGGAAAAAUAUUUUGAAACAUUGGUUAUAAAUGGUUGCAAUUAUUAUUAUUAUUUUGCCUGUUGAAUAAAUAUUUUGACCACUUAUUCUGAUGCCUUUUAUAACAGGAUGGUAAAACCCCCAAACAGUGUGCCAAGGAAGGUCAUUGCAAAGAUUUCGUGAUUGCAUUUUAUGAAUGCAAAAGAUCAUUGUUGGACAACACCAAAAGAUUCAAAGGAAGAAAGGGGUAUUGACUCUCCCUAUAAAGAAACAGUGAAUGUGGGCAAUCUUGGAUGUCUUGGCACCUCAAGAUUAAAGGAAUGGAAGAAAGUACGAUGUGCCCACAAACUCUUUCCUUCUAUGGGAACUGUUUUGCUUUUUCAUGAAAUGUCUGAAGCUACUGAAUACUGGAAGUACUACAAUGAAGAUGGACAACUUGUAGCA
RNAcentral lists this long non-coding RNA (1114 nucleotides) under Pogona vitticeps (central bearded dragon). Its description in RNAcentral is "lncRNA (ENSPVIG00000005775.1)". The record is from RNAcentral. Lineage: Eukaryota; Metazoa; Chordata; Lepidosauria; Squamata; Agamidae.